This 798-nucleotide long non-coding RNA is filed under the name Helianthus annuus (common sunflower). Its description in RNAcentral is "hypothetical non coding rna". Lineage: Eukaryota; Viridiplantae; Streptophyta; Magnoliopsida; Asterales; Asteraceae. The record is from RNAcentral.
UGCAUGCAUUCAUUCAUGCUAUGUAUAUAGAGAUGAUCUAGCUAGAUAUAUUUUCAAUCGAGGAUUGUACUUAGUUUUGCUAUUAAAAAGAGGUAGUGACGCAACUGUUUAUCUUCUAUCUCGAUGUAAUUUCAUUGGUUAAUUAGUAUUGUUUAAAAAGAUAUUUCAAUAUUGAAAAUACAUCUAAAUGAUCAUCUUAUAUAUAUGAGUAAAUUAAAAGAAAGAUGGAAGCAAGUGCAUUGGUGUAGACGACGAACACGAAGGGACUUGGCCCUUUCGACAAGACGGUGCUAGCCAAGAUGGUUAAACCGAUGGUACAAAACUCCAUUAACACCAUUAACAUGCAUGGCACCACUUCACCAAGCACCAUACCUAGCUUCCUCUCCAUUGAUCUCUUCCUUCUCUCUCUAGAUGGAUAGUCAAGAUUUUUGUUGUAGACAAAGUUUAAAAGGAGUGGGUUAGAAUGAGGUUUAAAUUGCUGAAGAGAGAGAGAGUAACCCUUGAGGAAAUGGUGAAGGUACUCUUGGGGUUUUGCAGCAACUCGAGUGACCCAAUCACAUAGAGGGAAGGCAAUCUACCUAUUUGGAUCAUUAUUUUAUUUUCUUCUUUUUUUUCUUUACUAUCAGGACCCACGAUGAUUAUAUGCAAUAUAUGAUUGAUUGAUCAAUUACGCAAACGAGAGUAUUUAAAUCUGUUCAGGUAUACUUAUUUUAUCUUGCUUUAUAUUUUUUUAAUUGAUGUAAAUUAUGCAAACUUUAAAGAAGUUCGCCGCAACGCGUUGCGGCGAAUUUCUUUUGU